GAUGAACGCUGGCGGCGUGCCUAAUACAUGCAAGUCGAGCGAACGGGCGAUAAUCUUGCGUCUCUGAUGUUAGCGGCGGACGUGUGAGUAACACGUGUAUAACCUACCUAUAAGACUGGGAUAACUUCGGGAAACCGGAUCUAAUACCGUAUGAUAUUUUGAACCGCAGGGUUCAAAAGUGAAAGACGGUCUUGCUGUCACGUAUAGAUGUAUCCGCGCUGCAUUAGCUCGUUGGUAAGGUAACGGCUUACCAAGGCAACGAUGCAUAGCCGAGGUGAGAGGGUGGUCGGCCACCCUGGAAGUGAGCCACGGUCAAGAGACCUACGAUAGGCCCCAGUAGGGAAUAUUACGCAGUGGGGGAAAACCUGACGGAACAGCGCCGCGUGAGUGACGAAGGUCUUGGGAUCGUAAAACUCUGUUACUAGGGAAGAACCUAUGUGGCAGUAACUGUGCACAUCUUGACGGUACCUAAUAAGAAAGCCCCGGCUAACUACGUG
This 497-nucleotide ribosomal RNA is filed under the name uncultured bacterium. RNAcentral's name for it is "partial 16S ribosomal RNA". It matches the Rfam family "Bacterial small subunit ribosomal RNA", at positions 28 to 507 of the family's 1533-position model. The record is from RNAcentral.